This 523-nucleotide transfer RNA is filed under the name uncultured Bacteroidota bacterium. RNAcentral describes it as "uncultured Bacteroidetes bacterium 16S-23S ribosomal RNA intergenic spacer". The stretch from base 117 to 190 matches the Rfam family "tRNA". The record is from RNAcentral. Lineage: Bacteria; Pseudomonadati; Bacteroidota.
AGAGUAAUCUAGUAUUGGAAGGUUAUUCUGCUAUUUCUAUUCUCUUCAUUUUUUAGACGAUUUUUACAAGUCAGAAAUGUAGAACUUUCUGGGUCUCUCUAUUUCGUCUUUGAAAUAGUCCCGUAGCUCAGUUGGUUAGAGCACUACACUGAUAAUGUAGGGGUCAGCAGUUCAAAUCUGUUCGGGACUACUUUAGUUCAGUUCAAUUUGAAUUGUUUUUGUUCUUUAUUAGACAUAAGGUUAUACCUAUACUACCUUUAGGUAGAGCUUUUAAAAUGAGGUAUUAAUCUGGAGUUUUAGAAGUUGAGUAUACCACAUGGGGGAUUAGCUCAGCUGGCUAGAGCGUCUGCCUUGCACGCAGAAGGUCAUCGGUUCGACUCCGAUAUUCUCCACAGAUGUAGUUGGUUAUCUAUAAUUCAGCCGAUUGUUUUCAAUCAAUUUUAUAGAUAGAUGCUACACACUAAACUCGAAUGUGAGUUUUGUUAGGUUCUUUGACAUAUUGGAAGUAAAAUAAAACUAAUAA